GCACCUACGGGGCGCCGCAGUAUUUCCUCUUCCACCCUUUUCUCAAGCCUGAUGGAGCAACGCCGCGUGGGUGAAGAAGGUCUUCGGAUCGUAAAACCCUGUUGUUAGAGAAGAAAGUGCGUGAGAGUAACUGUUCACGUUUCGACGGUAUCUAACCAGAAAGCCACGGCUAACUACGUGCCAGCAGCCGCGGUAAUACGUAGGUGGCAAGCGUUAUCCGGAUUUAUUGGGCGUAAAGAGAACGCAGGCGGUCUUUUAAGU
Molecule: ribosomal RNA, 261 nt
Filed under: uncultured bacterium
Lineage: Bacteria
Description: partial 16S ribosomal RNA
Rfam family: Bacterial small subunit ribosomal RNA
Source: RNAcentral